Molecule: long non-coding RNA, 1038 nt
Organism: Anthonomus grandis grandis
Lineage: Eukaryota; Metazoa; Arthropoda; Insecta; Coleoptera; Curculionidae
Exons: 3
Source: RefSeq, a predicted model, not a curated record
CAUUUUGAAAAAACGAUUUUGUUGACGCGGCUGUCACAAAAAUUAAAUUAACUUUGACAACAUCAAAAUAUAUUAUGCUAAUAGACAGAUUUAGUAGAUUUUGCUGUCCCAGUUUUUUUUCGGCACGAGAGUACAUACAUACAUACGUACUAUCCGAGCAAAUAUAAGCGUGUUAAAAACUGCAGCCGAGGAUUCCGACAGAAUAAACAGGUUGUAUAUAUGCGACAGUCUCCCAAAAUUAACGUUUGCAUUUAAAACUUGGUGGAGGAACAAGAAGAAAAUACAAGUUAAGUUAUUAGACUUUUUAACAAUAAAAUGGAGGACUCCUUGAAAUAUGAAGAUAUUAUUGAAAGUCACAGAAUUGGUUUAAGCAACGGGAAGAACCCAUUAUAGUGAAAUUCGUGAGUUCUCAAAGCAAACGUAAAUUAUUAAAAAACGUCUCAAAGCUAAAAGGCACAAACAUUGGUAUAUCUGAGGACCUAAGUAAAACAACGGUUCAACUGUAUCAAGCGGCUUCCCAGAAACAUGGAAAAUCAAAUGUUUUUAUUCGAUCCGGACAGGUUUUUGUUAAAAUGGAAGAUAAUAAAAUUACAAAGGUCUUUAAAAUUGAGGACGUAUAGUAUCUUUUGUACGAUUUACUAGGAAUUUUCUUUUGGCAAACCUAUAAAUAAACCAUUUUUCUUUCAUUAAUUUUUAUAAAUUUUCUCUUCAUUUAAGCUUUUUUUGUAAAAUAAAGGACACAAACGGAACAAUACUAUUAUAGGAUUAAUGAGAGAAUUGGAUCUGGACUAGACUAUAGUUAUGCUAGACUAUAUAAGGGCGGUUGAUGAGUUUGGUGGACUGGGGACGAAGGUGUUGAAUGGAGUAAACAGAGAUAAUAAGCCUCUUGGGAUUCUGCCCUGUUAUAGACCACCGUCGGCGGAAAUGGAUUUUUUUCUUGAAAAUAUAAAAAACAUUAUUUCAAAAUAAACCAAGUAUACAAUUUAUAAAAACAACUAUAAAUUAUAAAAUAUUAAAUCAAUUGUUAAAAAACAAAAA